RNAcentral lists this small RNA (1037 nucleotides) under Pongo abelii (Sumatran orangutan). RNAcentral describes it as "retained intron". Lineage: Eukaryota; Metazoa; Chordata; Mammalia; Primates; Hominidae. The record is from RNAcentral.
UGGUUGACCAGGUUGGCUUAGGUGUUAUAGUGCCAGCAACAUUUCCAUGAGCUUCCUUGCUCAGUGCCUCUCUGCCCACCUGCACUUUGUGUCAUUUCUAGGCUCCCCAUCGUUGCAGACAGAUGGAAUCACGGCCACUCCUGUCCCACCUCCACCUCCCCCCAAAAGCAAGCCCUAUGAGGGCAGCCAGAGGAACUCCACUGAGCUCGCUCCCCCACUGCCUGUCCGAAGAGAAGCCAAAGCACCACCCCCUCCACCUCCAAAGGCUCGGAAGUCUGGCAUCCCUACUUCCGAGCCUGGAUCCCAGUAAGGAUCUUGCCCUCCCUGCAACACCGAGUGCCUUAGACAGCUGCUGCCUGAGAACUGGCCUCCAGCCAGUGUCCUCAUUCCAUGGGGCUCCCUGCUGACUGCAUUUCCGGAUCUGGGAUGAUGUUUACCAGCCCAAAACCGGUCAUGUUCUUCCAAAAGCUUCUCUUUGAUAGAAGUUUGAGGCCAUGCCACCUCCUUUCCAGUCCAUAUGGAAUUCCAGAAUCAGUCACAGCCUCUGAAUUUUUCCAAGAGAUUGCAUUCAUCAUUGUUAAAUGUCAGCCUGUACGGCAGAGACGUGGUAGUCUGCACAAGCCUGGACAAGUUCUUCCACAUUGAUGGUGGAGCAACCCCUGUAAUCUACUCCUUGGAAGGAUUUUUUGCUUUGCUUAUGAAAAGCUGUGCUUGAGACUUAGGUACUUUUCUCACGUGGACACACUGAUCCCAUCCCAUAUUGCACCUUGGAAGAGAUGGAUAUCAAAUACACUUUGGUAGCUGAAAUAAUCAUAUCUUUCUGAUGUCUGUUGUAUCUCCUUUGAGGAAAAGAACACACAUUUUUAAUGGAGAUUGGCUGCUUUCAGAUUGUGGAUCACAUCAUUGCCUAAUUUUAUUAAAGACGGAGUGAAGAAAUUAUUUGAUUCCACUUUAGAGACUCUUCCAAUGGAGGUAUUUGGGAAAUCUGUCACUGUGCAGUAGCAAAUAUUUGUAUUAAAAAGAGGCGGUUUUCCCCA